AAAGGUAAACUAUUGAUAAUAGUUGAUAAUAUUCAAUUUAUUACGCUAGUUUUCGGCAGUGUUCAUCUCAAAGAUAAUAAGAACAUUGAACUGACCUAAAUUUAAUCGAAAAAAUGGAAUGAUAUUCAAAAAUACAGGAUUGCUUAGUUGUCAAAAACAUAGGUCACGUCGAAACUUCAAUAAAUCUCCGUUUUUGUUUUUUUUCUUAUUCUUUACUUAAUAAAAUAACGAG
Molecule: non-coding RNA, 232 nt
Organism: Cinara cedri
Lineage: Eukaryota; Metazoa; Arthropoda; Insecta; Hemiptera; Aphididae
Source: the annotation of a GenBank genome assembly